This is a long non-coding RNA of Lotus japonicus, 698 nucleotides long. RefSeq lists it as uncharacterized. The transcript is spliced from 3 exons. The record is from RefSeq and is a predicted model, not a curated record. NCBI's taxonomy places the organism in Eukaryota, Viridiplantae, Streptophyta, Magnoliopsida, Fabales, Fabaceae.
CAAUGAAGGCUUAUUUAAUUAGCUUUGCUUGGCAGCUUAGAUCAAGUGGUUGUAGAUUAGUUUUGUUCCCUUCUUUCUGGAAUAUGGUUGGUUUUUUAUUUCAAUUGGGAGCUGCUACAUUGAGGCAUAAAUACCUGCAAUCUGGUUUCUGCCUGUUGUUGCAAUAUGGCUUUUGUCUGAUGCAAUUUUUAUCUGUUUUAUCUAUGGUUCUUUCACUUAUUUGGCUGCACGGGUGUGGUGAUCUGAAGUGGAAUAUAGGGCAUUUUGUCCAAUGUUUUGGUGCAGUUUUUUCUGAAAAAUCUUUGCUGCUAUGCAGCUUGGGAUCUGCUGCAUUCAUUGGCUUUUCUCUUUGUAUUCAUUUCAGUUCCUAGAGGCUAGUAGUUUAUGCCAUAAAGCUUGGCGCCUGUUGUGGAAAAGUACUUAGCUUGAGUUGAAAAAACAGUAGAACCUGAGUUGUUUUGGAAAGAGCAAGAACCCUCGUCUGCCGCAUCUUUGCUGGUCUCUUUCUCUAAUGUUUUGCUCAUGCUGGCUUGCACGCCUCUACUGAUAUGUUGACUAUUUUUUGCACUUGUCUUUACUAGUUAGUUUCUGUACUAGUUAGAUUUGUUCUAGAUCUUCUAGUCUAUUCUGUUUUUUUGCAAUUUUGCUAUGUAUUUUCCUUUGAUGUUUAACUCACUUGAGAGAAUGUGUUCUCAAUA